This is a long non-coding RNA of Schistocerca serialis cubense, 979 nucleotides long. RefSeq lists it as uncharacterized. The record is from RefSeq and is a predicted model, not a curated record. Lineage: Eukaryota; Metazoa; Arthropoda; Insecta; Orthoptera; Acrididae. The transcript has 3 exons.
AUAUGUAAUGGUACAAUAUCCUUUACAUAUGAUCUUUGGACAAGCAACAGAAAGUACAAUUUAGUAGUUGUCGAGUGGCCGAACUUGGAGGCAGUAGCAUUCAGGCAGAGCUGGUAAUUGCUCAUUGAAGGCAGUAGAGUACAGGCAGAGCUCAUAGUUGGUCAUGCAUACAGUUAUUGUGUAAUGGCACACUGUUUAAAGUUUUCUUUAAUUGUGUGUCUUAAUAUCAAUGCUCAUGUGUUUAACAAAAUAAAUGUUGUAUAGUAAAAUCCAUGCAUUACUAAUUUCAGAAGUAUGUCACUCAGCACACAAUAAUGGGUAAAGUUAACAGCAAGAAAGCGGCAUUUUCAAUCUAAAUCAAUUACAUGCAGGCCACCCAUUGACAAAAAGAGUGUAUUCAGUGCACAGAUGUGGGGAGAAGCCUUGCAAUGUCUCCCUCAUCCGUAAUUUAAGGAAAAAGACAAGACUGCACCUGAAGAAGAGAUCGUGGAGCUACUCGUGAAUAACUACAGUGAGGGCGAAUUAGUCUUAAGUCUGCAGAAGUGGUGACUCCUCCACCGAUCCUGAAUCCUUCAGUCUACAUAAGGUAACCGGACUUUAAAAUUGGAACCAAAAGAAGAAUCUGGCGGCUAGUAAAAGUGCCUAGUGAUGAGUUUUUAUGAGCUCAGCUCCCUUCAAAGGAACAAGUACUUUGUAUUUACCAUGACAUGCAAAAUGGACCGAUUUUGAUGCUGUUCUAGACGUUUGCUGAGGCAGCCUUUCUGUUUAGUUCCACUCAACUGUGUUAUGGCAGUCUUCACCAGACUCCGUCUCCUCCUGUUUGGAUGUGUGUUAAAAGAGGAUGUUAAUUGUCUGCGAAGCUACUUGAAUGACAAACAAUUGAACUUUAAACCUUCUGUAUUAACAUGUUAUCCUACAAAAAUAUUGUCUCAAUAUACAAUCUUGUACACAAUGUGGAUUGACAGGUUAAAUCGGUGUA